GACGAACGCUGGCGGCGUGCUUAACACAUGCAAGUCGAACGGAAAGGCCCUGCUUUUGUGGGGUGCUCGAGUGGCGAACGGGUGAGUAACGCGUGAGUAACCUGCCCUUGACUUUGGGAUAACUUCAGGAAACUGGGGCUAAUACCGGAUAGGAGCUCCUGCUGCAUGGUGGGGGUUGGAAAGUUUCGGCGGUUGGGGAUGGACUCGCGGCUUAUCAGCUUGUUGGUGGGGUAGUGGCUUACCAAGGCUUUGACGGGUAGCCGGCCUGAGAGGGUGACCGGCCACAUUGGGACUGAGAUACGGCCCAGACUCCUACGGGAGGCAGCAGUGGGGAAUAUUGCACAAUGGGCUGAAGCCUAAUGCAGAAACGACGCGUGCGGGAUGACGGCCUUCGGGUUGUAAACCGCUUUCGCCUGUGACGAAGCGUGAGUGACGGUAAUGGGUAAAGAAGCACCGGCUAACUACGUG
This 468-nucleotide ribosomal RNA is filed under the name uncultured bacterium. Its description in RNAcentral is "partial 16S ribosomal RNA". It matches the Rfam family "Bacterial small subunit ribosomal RNA", at positions 28 to 507 of the family's 1533-position model. The record is from RNAcentral.